RNAcentral lists this ribosomal RNA (2901 nucleotides) under Klebsiella pneumoniae. RNAcentral describes it as "23S ribosomal RNA". It matches the Rfam family "Bacterial large subunit ribosomal RNA". The record is from RNAcentral. Lineage: Bacteria; Pseudomonadati; Pseudomonadota; Gammaproteobacteria; Enterobacterales; Enterobacteriaceae.
GGUUAAGCGACUAAGCGUACACGGUGGAUGCCCUGGCAGUCAGAGGCGAUGAAGGACGUGCUAAUCUGCGAAAAGCGUCGGUAAGGUGAUAUGAACCGUUAUAACCGGCGAUGUCCGAAUGGGGAAACCCAGUGCAAUUCGUUGCACUAUCGUUAACUGAAUACAUAGGUUAACGAGGCGAACCGGGGGAACUGAAACAUCUAAGUACCCCGAGGAAAAGAAAUCAACCGAGAUUCCCCCAGUAGCGGCGAGCGAACGGGGAGCAGCCCAGAGUCUGAAUCAGCUUGUGUGUUAGUGGAACGGUCUGGAAAGUCCGACGGUACAGGGUGAUAGUCCCGUACACCAAAAUGCACAGGCUGUGAACUCGAAGAGUAGGGCGGGACACGUGGUAUCCUGUCUGAAUAUGGGGGGACCAUCCUCCAAGGCUAAAUACUCCUGACUGACCGAUAGUGAACCAGUACCGUGAGGGAAAGGCGAAAAGAACCCCGGCGAGGGGAGUGAAAAAGAACCUGAAACCGUGUACGUACAAGCAGUGGGAGCACCUUCGGGUGUGACUGCGUACCUUUUGUAUAAUGGGUCAGCGACUUAUAUUCUGUAGCAAGGUUAACCGUAUAGGGGAGCCGCAGGGAAACCGAGUCUUAACUGGGCGUUAAGUUGCAGGGUAUAGACCCGAAACCCGGUGAUCUAGCCAUGGGCAGGUUGAAGGUUGGGUAACACUAACUGGAGGACCGAACCGACUAAUGUUGAAAAAUUAGCGGAUGACUUGUGGCUGGGGGUGAAAGGCCAAUCAAACCGGGAGAUAGCUGGUUCUCCCCGAAAGCUAUUUAGGUAGCGCCUCGUGAAUUCAUCUUCGGGGGUAGAGCACUGUUUCGGCUAGGGGGUCAUCCCGACUUACCAACCCGAUGCAAACUACGAAUACCGAAGAAUGUUAUCACGGGAGACACACGGCGGGUGCUAACGUCCGUCGUGAAGAGGGAAACAACCCAGACCGCCAGCUAAGGUCCCAAAGUCAUGGUUAAGUGGGAAACGAUGUGGGAAGGCACAGACAGCGAGGAUGUUGGCUUAGAAGCAGCCAUCAUUUAAAGAAAGCGUAAUAGCUCACUGGUCGAGUCGGCCUGCGCGGAAGAUGUAACGGGGCUAAACCAUGCACCGAAGCUGCGGCAGCGACACUAUGUGUUGUUGGGUAGGGAGCGUUCUGUAAGCCUGCGAAGGUGUGCUGUGAGGCAUGCUGGAGGUAUCAGAAGUGCGAAUGCUGACAUAAGUAACGAUAAAGCGGGUGAAAAGCCCGCUCGCCGGAAGACCAAGGGUUCCUGUCCAACGUUAAUCGGGGCAGGGUGAGUCGACCCCUAAGGCGAGGCCGAAAGGCGUAGUCGAUGGGAAACAGGUUAAUAUUCCUGUACUUGGUGUUACUGCGAAGGGGGGACGGAGAAGGCUAUGUUAGCCGGGCGACGGUUGUCCCGGUUUAAGCAUGUAGGCUGAUUAUCCAGGCAAAUCCGGAUAAUCAAGGCUGAGGUGUGAUGACGAGGCACUACGGUGCUGAAGUAACAAAUGCCCUGCUUCCAGGAAAAGCCUCUAAGCAUCAGGUAACAUCAAAUCGUACCCCAAACCGACACAGGUGGUCAGGUAGAGAAUACCAAGGCGCUUGAGAGAACUCGGGUGAAGGAACUAGGCAAAAUGGUGCCGUAACUUCGGGAGAAGGCACGCUGGUGUGUAGGUGAAGCCCCUGCGGGUGGAGCUGAGACCAGUCGAAGAUACCAGCUGGCUGCAACUGUUUAUUAAAAACACAGCACUGUGCAAACACGAAAGUGGACGUAUACGGUGUGACGCCUGCCCGGUGCCGGAAGGUUAAUUGAUGGGGUUAUCCGUAAGGAGAAGCUCUUGAUCGAAGCCCCGGUAAACGGCGGCCGUAACUAUAACGGUCCUAAGGUAGCGAAAUUCCUUGUCGGGUAAGUUCCGACCUGCACGAAUGGCGUAAUGAUGGCCAGGCUGUCUCCACCCGAGACUCAGUGAAAUUGAACUCGCUGUGAAGAUGCAGUGUACCCGCGGCAAGACGGAAAGACCCCGUGAACCUUUACUAUAGCUUGACACUGAACAUUGAGCCUUGAUGUGUAGGAUAGGUGGGAGGCUUUGAAGCGUGGACGCCAGUCUGCGUGGAGCCAACCUUGAAAUACCACCCUUUAAUGUUUGAUGUUCUAACGUUGGCCCCUGACCGGGGUUGCGGACAGUGUCUGGUGGGUAGUUUGACUGGGGCGGUCUCCUCCCAAAGCGUAACGGAGGAGCACGAAGGUUAGCUAAUCCUGGUCGGACAUCAGGAGGUUAGUGCAAUGGCAUAAGCUAGCUUGACUGCGAGCGUGACGGCGCGAGCAGGUGCGAAAGCAGGUCAUAGUGAUCCGGUGGUUCUGAAUGGAAGGGCCAUCGCUCAACGGAUAAAAGGUACUCCGGGGAUAACAGGCUGAUACCGCCCAAGAGUUCAUAUCGACGGCGGUGUUUGGCACCUCGAUGUCGGCUCAUCACAUCCUGGGGCUGAAGUAGGUCCCAAGGGUAUGGCUGUUCGCCAUUUAAAGUGGUACGCGAGCUGGGUUUAGAACGUCGUGAGACAGUUCGGUCCCUAUCUGCCGUGGGCGCUGGAGAAUUGAGGGGGGCUGCUCCUAGUACGAGAGGACCGGAGUGGACGCAUCACUGGUGUUCGGGUUGUCAUGCCAAUGGCACUGCCCGGUAGCUAAAUGCGGAAGAGAUAAGUGCUGAAAGCAUCUAAGCACGAAACUUGCCCCGAGAUGAGUUCUCCCUGAGACUUUAAGUCUCCUGAAGGAACGUUGAAGACGACGACGUUGAUAGGCCGGGUGUGUAAGCGCAGCGAUGCGUUGAGCUAACCGGUACUAAUGAACCGUGAGGCUUAACCUU